UACGUAGGGUGCGAGCGUUAAUCGGAAUUACUGGGCGUAAAGCGUGCGCAGGCGGUUUUGUAAGCCAGAUGUGAAAUCCCCGGGCUUAACCUGGGAAUGGCAUUUGGGACUGCAAGGCUGGAGUGUGGUAGGGGAGACUGGAAUUCCUGGUGUAGCGGUGGAAUGCGCAGAUAUCAGGAGGAACACCGAUGGCGAAGGCAGGUCUCUGGGCCACUACUGACGCUGAGAAGCGAAAGCAUGGGGAGCGAACAGG
RNAcentral lists this ribosomal RNA (253 nucleotides) under uncultured prokaryote. Its description in RNAcentral is "partial 16S ribosomal RNA". It matches the Rfam family "Bacterial small subunit ribosomal RNA", at positions 524 to 776 of the family's 1533-position model. The record is from RNAcentral.